Salvelinus fontinalis (brook trout) is the source of this 185-nucleotide long non-coding RNA. RefSeq lists it as uncharacterized. Lineage: Eukaryota; Metazoa; Chordata; Actinopteri; Salmoniformes; Salmonidae. The record is from RefSeq and is a predicted model, not a curated record. The transcript is spliced from 2 exons.
AAAUUCCAAGGUGAGAGGAAUCUGAGAAAGGGAAAGCGGAGCUGUGAUUUAUCUGCAAGCGGAAACAGCUUCAUGGUUUAGGUUUCUUCCUUUCUUCUCGGGAGUCUUUCCUUGCCGCUGUGCCGCUGCUCACUAGAAACAUAAUCUGACCUGUUCUGAUCUGAAUAAAUGGACAAUCAAAAUGA